Molecule: ribosomal RNA, 523 nt
Filed under: uncultured bacterium
Lineage: Bacteria
Description: partial 16S ribosomal RNA
Rfam family: Bacterial small subunit ribosomal RNA
Source: RNAcentral
UGGGGAAUAUUGCACAAUGGGCGAAAGCCUGAUGCAGCAACGCCGCGUGAGUGAUGAAGGUCUUCGGAUUGUAAAGCUCUGUCUUUUGGGACGAUAAUGACGGUACCAAAGGAGGAAGCCACGGCUAACUACGUGCCAGCAGCCGCGGUAAUACGUAGGUGGCGAGCGUUGUCCGGAUUUACUGGGCGUAAAGGGUGCGUAGGCGGAUGUUUAAGUGAGAUGUGAAAUACCCGGGCUUAACUUGGGUGCUGCAUUUCAAACUGGAUAUCUAGAGUGCAGGAGAGGAGAAUGGAAUUCCUAGUGUAGCGGUGAAAUGCGUAGAGAUUAGGAAGAACACCAGUGGCGAAGGCGAUUCUCUGGACUGUAACUGACGCUGAGGCACGAAAGCGUGGGUAGCAAACAGGAUUAGAUACCCUGGUAGUCCACGCCGUAAACGAUGAGUACUAGGUGUAGGAGGUAUCGACCCCUUCUGUGCCGCAGUAAACACAUUAAGUACUCCGCCUGGGGAAGUACGAUCGCAAGA